AAUAUAAAUAUCCACCACGUCAGCAAACAAUUAGGGUUUUUGAAGUAAUACAAAUAGGUUUCGAGUGGGGACUUACCCAAUCUUCUUCAGGCAAAUUUGUUUUCGUCGCAAACUUUCCUUUAUGGCGGCUCGUUCGAGGAUUCUUCAAUUUCAUCGCUUCUCGCUUCGUCGUCGUCUAUCACUAUGCCCGGCCAAAAAGGGAGGUCAAAGGAUUCAGUUUCCUUGAGAGCAAGAAUCAGAGCAAAAAAGAAGCGAAGCCAAGUUUUGCUGACCUGACAUUAUGCCUCUUGGAAGUAAUAAUAUCUCAACUUGACUUAAAAGAUAACAUUCGCGCAUCUGCUGUCUGUAAA
Arabidopsis thaliana (thale cress) is the source of this 350-nucleotide long non-coding RNA. RefSeq annotates it as other RNA. The record is from RefSeq. The transcript has 2 exons. NCBI's taxonomy places the organism in Eukaryota, Viridiplantae, Streptophyta, Magnoliopsida, Brassicales, Brassicaceae.